AUAUAGAUAUAUAAGAGAGAAAGAGGAAGAGAAGAGAAAAAGAAACGAUAAAGAGCGAGGUUUCAAAGUUAAAGAAGACAAAGAAAAGAAAAAGAAGAAGAGAAGAAUUUUGUUCAAUAAGUGAGAAGACACCAGAAAUACAGGGAUAGAAACAGAGAAAAAUAUAGAUAUAUAAUUAAGAAAGGAAGAAAAGAGAAGAAAAGAAGGAACGAUAAAGAGUGAGAUACCCAAUGGGAUAAUAAGUUAUGAAAAAUAAACUAAGUAUAAUAGAUUGAAUUUGACCUUAAUUAUUUGAUUAAAAUUGGCUUUAACGUAAAUUGAAAUUGACUUUGACUUAAUUUGAAAUUAGUUUUAAUUUGGAUUGA
Formica exsecta is the source of this 365-nucleotide long non-coding RNA. RefSeq lists it as uncharacterized. The transcript has 3 exons. Lineage: Eukaryota; Metazoa; Arthropoda; Insecta; Hymenoptera; Formicidae. The record is from RefSeq and is a predicted model, not a curated record.